Molecule: ribosomal RNA, 484 nt
Filed under: uncultured bacterium
Lineage: Bacteria
Description: partial 16S ribosomal RNA
Rfam family: Bacterial small subunit ribosomal RNA
Source: RNAcentral
AUUGAACGCUGGCGGCAGGCCUAACACAUGCAAGUCGAGCGGAUGAAGGGAGCUUGCUCCUGGAUUCAGCGGCGGACGGGUGAGUAAUGCCUAGGAAUCUGCCUGGUAGUGGGGGAUAACGUCCGGAAACGGGCGCUAAUACCGCAUACGUCCUGAGGCAGAAAGUGGGGGAUCUUCGGACCUCACGCUCUCAGAUGAGCCUAGGUCGGAUUAGCUAGUUGGUGGGGUAAAGGCCUACCAAGGCGACGAUCCGUAACUGGUCUGAGAGGAUGAUCAGUCACACUGGAAGUGAGACACGGUCCAGACUCCUACGGGAGGCAGCAGUGGGGAAUAUUGGACAAUGGGCGAAAGCCUGAUCCAGCCAUGCCGCGUGUGUGAAGAAGGUCUUCGGAUUGUAAAGCACUUUAAGUUGGGAGGAAGGGCAGUAAGUUAAUACCUUGCUGUUUUGACGGUACCAACAGAAUAAGCACCGGCUAACUUCGUG